RNAcentral lists this microRNA precursor (136 nucleotides) under Hordeum vulgare. Its description in RNAcentral is "microRNA MIR1122". It matches the Rfam family "MIR1120/MIR1122 microRNA precursor family". The record is from RNAcentral. Lineage: Eukaryota; Viridiplantae; Streptophyta; Magnoliopsida; Poales; Poaceae.
CAAGUACUCCCUCGGUCUCAAAAUUCUUGUCUUAAAUUUGCCUAGAUAUGAAUGUAUCUAGUCACGUUUUAAUAUUUAGAUACAUUUAUUUCUAGAUAAAUCUAAGAUAAGAAUUUUGAGACGGAAGGAGUAGUAU